UAUAAGAAUCGCGGCCGCUCUUGAUACUUCCAAACAUAGCUUCCAAGUAACCGACCCGGCCACUCUGUCAGCAGGAGCAGCAGUGGCAGCAGGAUGAACGCGCAGAGAUUCGUCGUGGUCGUCGCUCUCCUUAGCUUCGUGCUGGGCGUGUCCCAGGCAGCGCCUUUCCUGGGCUACAGUCUGGGCGGCCUCGGUCCCGGUGUGGCGGUAGGCCCCUCGGGCUCGUCGGGCGCGCCCAUAGCCGUCGCCUCUUCUCCCGUCUCCAUCGUGUCCGAGGCAAAGUCUACGAACGUGGGGCCCGUGUACAGUGCGCCCUACAGCUACGUGCCACGCGUAGCGUACGCAGCACCCCUGCACGUGGUCGGAUACCACACACCAUACGUGGCAGCGCCGGGAUUAGUACACACAGUCGGCCUCGGAGUAGACCGCUACGGAUACGGCGUACACACUGUAGGGGUGGGCUACGGUACCGGCUACCACAUCUAGGCCUCCUGAACCACCUGACUAAUUGGACAAAGGCUAAACUCCACACCAAACUCCACGCAAACGCAGACUACAGUGACUCAGAUUUUCAGAUUCGGGUAUACGCAAACUGCAAGCACUCGACGCAGCCUCCCGUUUGCUAGAAUAAAACUUCUUUAAUGCAUCGACUUAAUAAUAAACAUG
RNAcentral lists this unclassified non-coding RNA (666 nucleotides) under Dermacentor andersoni. RNAcentral describes it as "uncharacterized LOC126540363". The record is from RNAcentral. Lineage: Eukaryota; Metazoa; Arthropoda; Arachnida; Ixodida; Ixodidae.